RNAcentral lists this transfer RNA (20 nucleotides) under Cirrhipathes anguina. RNAcentral describes it as "partial tRNA-Trp". Lineage: Eukaryota; Metazoa; Cnidaria; Anthozoa; Antipatharia; Antipathidae. The record is from RNAcentral.
UUCAAGUCCUGCACCUCCUG